This 351-nucleotide ribosomal RNA is filed under the name uncultured bacterium. Its description in RNAcentral is "bacterial SSU rRNA". It matches the Rfam family "Bacterial small subunit ribosomal RNA", at positions 917 to 1267 of the family's 1533-position model. The record is from RNAcentral.
GGACCCGCACAAGCGGUGGAGCAUGUGGUUUAAUUCGAUGCAACGCGAAAAAACCUUACCUACUCUUGACAUACUUGGAAGCUCUUGUAAUGAGAGUGUGCCUUUUGGAGCCAAGAUACAGGUGCUGCAUGGCUGUCGUCAGCUCGUGUCGUGAGAUGUUCCGUUAAGUCGGAUAACGAGCGCAACCCUUACCCUUUAUUUGCCAGCGAUUCGGUCGGGAACUAUAAGGGGACUGCCGGUGAUAAACCGGAGGAAGGUGAGGACGACGUCAAGUCAUCAUGGCCCUUACGAGUAGGGCUACACACGUGCUACAAUGGGGAAUACAGACGGACGCUAAGCCGCGAGGUGGUG